Non-coding RNA from Plectosphaerella cucumerina, 107 nucleotides. The record is from the annotation of a GenBank genome assembly. NCBI's taxonomy places the organism in Eukaryota, Fungi, Ascomycota, Sordariomycetes, Glomerellales, Plectosphaerellaceae.
GGUGAGAUGGCCGAGUGGUCUAAGGCGCUAGUUUCAGGAGGAGUUCUUCGGAACGCCAUCCGGCUUACUAGUCAGUAAUGGCGUGGGUUCGAAUCCCACUCUCAUCA